Non-coding RNA from Cinara cedri, 260 nucleotides. The record is from the annotation of a GenBank genome assembly. Lineage: Eukaryota; Metazoa; Arthropoda; Insecta; Hemiptera; Aphididae.
ACGCAUAAGUACGGAAUAAUAUAUCGAUUUAUCGCGAUAUGACCAUUAUUUUAUUUCACGUUUUAAACGCGCGUAAAAGAAUAUCAUUUUUGUAUACAAAAUUUAACGGCGCAGCAAUACCUCGCGGUUUUUGCUUUUUAAAUAAUAUUAGGUCACGCGUUUAUUUCGACCGUGUGUUUUUUACGCGCAAGAGACGCCCAUACCCGCAUGGUCUGUCUCCGUCACACAAUCGAGCGACAUAAAACACAUUUGCGUUCAGC